Cucurbita moschata (crookneck pumpkin) is the source of this 766-nucleotide RNA transcript. It is a transcript of the gene named protein yippee-like At4g27740, with no coding region annotated. The record is from RefSeq and is a predicted model, not a curated record. The transcript has 3 exons. Lineage: Eukaryota; Viridiplantae; Streptophyta; Magnoliopsida; Cucurbitales; Cucurbitaceae.
GGUUAUAGUCUUCACAUCUCAUUCAACAACUUAAAAACCAUCUUGGCCACUCAUCUUUCAUCUCUCCAACUUGCCUUUCAUUAUUCAUUUUUAUGUUCAUACACACACUCUUUGCUUGAUUGACUAAUCUAUCUCUAAGUUCAGCUUCCAUGGCGGAGUACUCGAACACGACGUAUAGCUGUAGAAGUUGCCGCAACCCGCUUGCCUCCGGAGCUGAUCUCCUUUCCAAAUCCUUCUUGGCAAAAUCGGGAAAAGCGUUCCUAUUCUCCCAAGCAAAGAACAUAGUGGAGGGCCCAAAAGAGAAGAAGCUGCUGAUAACAGGUCUCUUCAAAACUGCAGACAUACACUGCAGCAUCUGUGGUCAAGUUUUGGGUUGGAAGUAUCUCAAAGCUUAUGAUAUCAAGCAGAAGUUCAAGGAAGGAAAGUUCAUCAUCGAAAGGGCUAAGAUCGUCAAGGAAUACGACUAAUCAUACUUACAAACUCGUUUCGAACGAUUAAUCGACCGUUUACAAGAGUUUUUAAGCCCUUAAGAAGUCGUUUUAAACAUAUCUUUCCGUCAAUGUUGAUGGUCGGAAAAAGUUAAUGUUUUAAACUCUUAGUGUCACGUGUAUUUUGAGUCUUGUAGUCGGGUUGCUUCGCGCAAGACAUUGCUUAGGACCAACGGGUCACACGACAGGUGCACGAUUGACUUUGUACGCUCCAUCCUUUGGCCCUUCGUCUAUCGGCUUGGCAGGCAAGCUACCUUGAUCCAUCUCUGGUUUCGAUU